RNAcentral lists this ribosomal RNA (489 nucleotides) under uncultured bacterium. RNAcentral's name for it is "partial 16S ribosomal RNA". It matches the Rfam family "Bacterial small subunit ribosomal RNA", at positions 30 to 506 of the family's 1533-position model. The record is from RNAcentral.
AUUGAACGCUGGCGGCAGGCCUAACACAUGCAAGUCGAACGGUAACAGGAAGGAGCUUGCUUCUUUGCUGACGAGUGGCGGACGGGUGAGUAAUGUCUGGGAAACUGCCUGAUGGAGGGGGAUAACUACUGGAAACGGUAGCUAAUACCGCAUAACGUCGCAAGACCAAAAAGGGGGACCUUCGGGCCUCUUGCCAUCGGAUGUGCCCAGAUGGGAUUAGCUAGUAGGUGGGGUAACGGCUCACCUAGGCGACGAUCCCUAGCUGGUCUGAGAGGAUGACCAGCCACACUGGAACUGAGACACGGUCCAGACUCCUACGGGAGGCAGCAGUGGGGAAUAUUGCACAAUGGGCGCAAGCCUGAUGCAGCCAUGCCGCGUGUAUGAAGAAGGCCUUCGGGUUGUAAAGUACUUUCAGCGGGGAGGAAGGGAGUAAAGUUAAUACCUUUGCUCAUUGACGUUACCCGCAGAAGAAGCACCGGCUAACUCCGU